Xylogone sp. PMI_703 is the source of this 113-nucleotide non-coding RNA. The record is from the annotation of a GenBank genome assembly. NCBI's taxonomy places the organism in Eukaryota, Fungi, Ascomycota, Leotiomycetes.
GGCUCAAUGGUCUAGUGGUAUGAUUGCUGCUUCGGGCUUGUCUGAAUAGGCACCCCUGUUCUCCAGAAUGGAUGAAAUGUAGCAGGUCCCGGUUUCAAAUACCGGUUGAGCCC